This 405-nucleotide ribosomal RNA is filed under the name uncultured bacterium. RNAcentral describes it as "partial 16S ribosomal RNA". It matches the Rfam family "Bacterial small subunit ribosomal RNA", at positions 28 to 526 of the family's 1533-position model. The record is from RNAcentral.
GAUGAACGCUGGCGGCGUGCCUAAUACAUGCAAGUCGAGCGAAGCGGGGACGGGGGCGUAACACGUGGAUAACCUCCUAUAAGACUGGGAUAACUUCGGGAAACCGGAGCUAAACCGGCUCCUUAUAGAUGGCUCCGCGCUGCAUUAGCUAGUUGGUAAGGUAACGGCUUACAAAGGCAACGAUGCAUAGCCGACCUAAGAGGGUGAUCGGCCACACUGGGACUGAGACACGGUCCAGACUCCUAAGGGAGGCAGCAGUAGGGAAUCAUCCGCAAUGGACGAAAGCCUGACGGAGAAACGCCGCGUGAGUGAUGAGGGUCUUCGGAUCGUAAAACUCUGUUAUUAGAGAAGCGGUACCUAAUCAGAAAGCCACGGCUAACUACGUGCCAGCAGCCGCGGUAAUAC